AAUGAUGGCGGUGUUUAUACGCAGUUAAAAAUUCUUAAUCCAUCAAAAAGUUGUUUGGCUUAGUCAGUCGUUUGUGAAAGCACAGAAUUACUUUCCUUGCUUCAAUUUGAUAUAAUUUUGAUGUAAAAACUAAAUUAGCUCAAAUGGGUGGCCGUGUCUUACGACAAAACAAAAUUCAAGGAAUGUGUGCCUGUGGAUAUUCACGGUAUAAUUAUUUUUGACCGGAUAUGAAACAAAAAUAACCUUCCAGGACACAGUCUUUUUAUUUUUAAUAGAGUUUUGGGUAUUUUUCUGCUACUUGGUAGUUAAUCUAAUUACUUAUUCCUUCUCAUAUGCGUGAAUGCAGACACAGAGGACCCUUUUGUGUGCCUCAGACUUACAUUUUAUGGAUUUUGUGUGUGUGUGUGUGUGUGUGUGUCUGAAAUAUAAGAUGUAAAAAAAACAAAAAAACACUUGAUUUCUGUGUAGUGGUAACAGAGUCCAGAUGUGCAGUAUUAAUAGCAGUGGAUGAAUUUCAGGUUGUGCCCGUAGGCAUCUGUAAACGUCCGUCCCUUAGUGUCUACUUACACAAGCUUACAGUUUCCCCACUCAAUCUUUUUAUGACAGCUUUUCUCCUGUUAGUGGUUGUCACUUGGAUGACCUUCUGUGUAACAAAUUUUCUACUUCAUUCUUCAGACUACCAUUUGUUCACUGGCUCAAAAGUCUGUCUAAAAAGUCCAAAUCCAACCCAUUCUUUCAGGGGCUUUGGAGACUAAUCACUCAAUAUUCAGCACAGUGCCCUUUUUUCAGGGGCUAUACAGACACCUUACAAAUCUCUACACACAACAGCUGAGGAAAAACAGACCGUGUAAUAUGAAGGAGUCGGAGCCCCAGCCUAAAAGAGCUAAAUUGGUGUCACCAGUCAUAAUGUUAUUAGCUGGGAUAGUAAUUCAGUGAGACUGAUUAUAUUAGACACAGAACAUGGUGCCCUGGCAACAUCUCAAGCUUUUGACAAUACCCACAUUGAGCUGGAAGCAUGUUGACUGCAGGCAGAAAACAAGCGAAGGGGACGCUCUUGCAGGCUCUCGCAGUGCAGUUGUUGUAAUUGCCUGUUCAACCAAUGUUCAGCUGUCAGAGCAGAACUGCUCAUGUGUAAGCUGAAAGAUAAACAGAUGAUGACUGUGAGUAAAGAGUAACCUUUUCUAUUACAAGUCAUGUAGUCUCCAAAAAUAUUCAGAAUUAGGGUUGUCAUCAGAG
Long non-coding RNA from Cyprinus carpio carpio, 1236 nucleotides. The record is from Ensembl. NCBI's taxonomy places the organism in Eukaryota, Metazoa, Chordata, Actinopteri, Cypriniformes, Cyprinidae.